This 694-nucleotide ribosomal RNA is filed under the name uncultured bacterium. Its description in RNAcentral is "bacterial SSU rRNA". It matches the Rfam family "Bacterial small subunit ribosomal RNA", at positions 141 to 851 of the family's 1533-position model. The record is from RNAcentral.
GGAUAACGUUUGGAAACGAACGCCAAUACCGCAUGAUAUUAUCUUAUCGCAUGAUAGGAUGAUCAAAGGAGUGAUCCGCUGAAAGAUGGGCUCGCGUCCGAUUAGGUAGUUGGUGAGGUAACGGCCCACCAAGCCGACGAUCGGUAGCCGGACUGAGAGGUUGGACGGCCACAUUGGGACUGAGACACGGCCCAGACUCCUACGGGAGGCAGCAGUAAGGGAUAUUGGUCAAUGGGGGAAACCCUGAACCAGCAACGCCGCGUGAGGGAAGACGGUUUUCGGAUUGUAAACCUCUGUCCUCUGUGAAGAUGAUGACGGUAGCAGAGGAGGAAGCUCCGGCUAACUACGUGCCAGCAGCCGCGGUAAUACGUAGGGAGCGAGCGUUGUCCGGAUUUACUGGGUGUAAAGGGUGCGUAGGCGGCUAUGCAAGUCAGUAGUGAAAUCCAUGGGCUUAACCCAUGAACUGCUAUUGAAACUGCACAGCUUGAGUGAAGUAGAGGUAGGCGGAAUUCCCGGUGUAGCGGUGAAAUGCGUAGAGAUCGGGAGGAACACCAGUGGCGAAGGCGGCCUACUGGGCUUUAACUGACGCUGAGGCACGAAAGCGUGGGUAGCAAACAGGAUUAGAUACCCUGGUAGUCCACGCUGUAAACGAUGAUUACUAGGUGUGGGGGGACUGAACCCUUCCGUGCCGGAG